UCUGGCUUGAAAUACUUUUUAUAAAAUUAUUUUACAUGUAAGUUUUAGUAAGAAAUAAAUAUUUAUUAAAUCUUAAAGAUUUUAAAUAUAUUUUAAGCGCAGUAUUUUACAUUAAGUAUCAAUGAAAAUUGGAGUUAGUAAAUUUUAUAGUUUUGGUAAAAUUUGUGCCAGCCACCGCGGUUAAACAAAAGAGGCUAAAAAGUAUUAUUAGUUAUAGUUAAUUUUAAAUUAUAAAGUUUAUUAAUAGUGUUGUUGUUAGGUGAAAUUUUAAAAUGUGUCAUAAAACUUAAAAUAUUAUUAAAUGAAGCUAUGAAAGUUAGAAAAUAAACUAGGAUUAGAUACCCUACUAUUCUAAUUGUUAUUUUAAUAAAGCUUGAGUAGUAAUAGUUAUGUUCUUAAAACUCAAAGAAUUUGGCGGUGUUUUAGUCUUAUCAGAGGAAUUUGCCCCGUGAUCGAUAACCCACGUUUUACUUUACUUAAUUUGGUUAACAGCUUGUAUACCGCCGUCAGCAGGGUAUAUUUGGAAAUAAUACUCAAAAAUUAUAAAUAUAAAAUAUGUCAGGUCAAGGUGCAGUUUAUAAUUAAGAGGAGGUGAAUUACAAUAUAAGUAUAUAUAAUGGAUUUGGAAUUAAAAUUUUUCAAUGAAGGUGGAUUUGGGUGUAAUAGAAUCAAGAUAAAUUUUAUGAUAUAAAGCUCUAAAACAUGCACACAUCGCCCGUCGCUCUCAUUUUAAGGUGAGAUAAGUCGUAACAUAGUAGAUGUACCGGAAGGUGUAUCUAGAAAGUU
RNAcentral lists this non-coding RNA (786 nucleotides) under Siphlonurus immanis. The record is from RNAcentral. Lineage: Eukaryota; Metazoa; Arthropoda; Insecta; Ephemeroptera; Siphlonuridae.